Long non-coding RNA from Ananas comosus (pineapple), 874 nucleotides. RefSeq lists it as uncharacterized. NCBI's taxonomy places the organism in Eukaryota, Viridiplantae, Streptophyta, Magnoliopsida, Poales, Bromeliaceae. The transcript has 3 exons. The record is from RefSeq and is a predicted model, not a curated record.
CUCAGAGAUGAUGAAGCUCCUUUAGUAGCUGCAGAUUGUGGCGCAUUCAUCAAUAGUUCUAUUAUUUGCUCCAGUUUCCUUGUAGUGUUUGCUGACUCCCUAUAAAGUGCAUCAUAGUGGGAUUGCCCUUCGACCCAAUUUUGCUCAAUCUCUGGAGGCACCAGGUGGGAACUUCGAACAGAUGGCGGGCGUUUAAUUUCCCUGCCAAUUCUGUGAGUUCAAGAACCGGGGAAGGUUCUUACAGCGGUCCCCUUUGUCCAGGAUCACCCAGAGGCCGUCGAUGUCGGAUUCAACAGUUUGUAAAACCGGAGUCCCUGCGACUGCGCUGCACCGAUCCCUGGGAUCUAAACCGCUCUGUACCAGAUUGUAACAAUCCUGACGUUAAGCAACCACAGUGAAUUGUAGGAUGGCUUUAGGAGUGAUGGAUGGAUACCUGAUCCUGCUCCUUGUCCGGUGAAGUUCCUUCGACUGAGGAUGAGGAAGGGAAAUGAUGGGAAUUCGAUCUGAAUUCUGUAUCCAAGAGCCGGUAAUUCCAGGGAAGGAUGAACAGAGAUCAGAUGAGCAGAGAGAGAAGGGAAUAGAGGGAAUAGAGGAGAUAGAGGAGGUAGAAGAGAAGAGAGGGGAAGAGAACAGGAAUGGGGGAGAAACUGGGAUUUUUUUAUAUUUCAGCUUAACCUAUUACAGGCGUGAGGAGAUGGAUACUUAUACCGCUCUAUUGUGGGCACUAAAAUGUAAGAAUUACAAUGUUCGCCUCUCUCUCAGUUUCCGGAGUCGGGUCGACGACGCAACAGUGAGGAGGCGCCGACCCGCUACCUGAAAGCUGAUCCAAGACGCGGAGUCGGGCUCGGUGAUGCUACAGAGAGAGAGCGCGGAC